CGCGCCAUCUCCUUACGUCUUAACCCAUCCCCAUUCUUUCGCCUGCUUACGUCUGGAUUGUGUAAUGGCCCCUGACAAAGUCCGUCCACACCAACGGAACGAGGUGCUAAUCGAUGGCGUCCUUUACGACUGCACCGACUUCCGGCAUCCAGGCGGCAGCAUUCUGAAAUACUACCUCGGCAGCGGCGACGCCACCGAGACGUACCAGCAGUUCCACUUGAAGCUGCCUAGGGCGGACAAGUAUCUCAAGCGGCUGCCCAAUCGCCCGGCGCCGCCACAGCACAGCGUCGACGUGGAUGAGCAGAAGCGAUUGGCGAAGCUCUCGCGAGACUUCAAGGCGCUGCAUGAUGCGUGCGUGGAGGAGGGCCUUUUUAACGCCAGCUGGCCGCACAUCGUCUACCGGUUCUCUGAGCUGAUCCUGAUGCACGCCAUCGGUCUUUACAUGCUCUUCCGUCUUCCGAUGCUGUGGCCCAUCGCGCUGGUGAUCCUUGGAGUGGCGGAGGGGCGCUGUGGCUGGUGGAUGCACGAGGCCGGGCACUACAGCGUCACGGGCAUUCCGUGGUUGGACAUUAAAAUACAGGAGGUUCUCUACGGACUCGGCGAUGGAAUGAGCGCGUCGUGGUGGCGGUCGCAGCAUAACAAGCAUCACGCCACUCCGCAGAAGCACCGGCAUGACGUGGACCUUGAGACGCUGCCUCUCGUUGCCUUCAACAAGAUCAUCGCGCUCCGCGGCAAGAGGAACGCGAACAUUCGCCGCUGGAUCUCCCUGCAGAUGUUCCUCUUCGGCCCCGUCACCUGCUCCCUUGUCGCCCUAUACUGGCAGCUCUUCCUCCACGUCCGCCACGCCAUGCGCACUCAGCGUUACACAGAGGGUGUUGCCAUCCUGUGCCGCUGGAUCGCGGUCGGCGUUAUCUGUCACAAGCUGCAGGUCUCGUUCUGGCAAGGCCUCGGCGGUGUUCUCUUCUCCCAGGCCUUCAGCGCCGCCUACAUCUUCAUCAACUUCGCCCUCAACCACUCUCACCUGCCGAUGCUUCCGGAGGAUGAACACGCGCACUUCGUCGAGUACGCGGCCAUCUACACCAUGAACGUGACACCGUCGUGGUUCGUGACGUGGUUCAUGGGCUACCUUAACUACCAGGUGGAGCACCACCUGUUCCCUACCAUGCCACAGUUCCGCUUCGUCCAACUGGCGCCGCGAGUGCGGAAACUUUUCGAGGAGAACGGCCUGAAGUACGAUUCGCGUCCGUACAUGAAGUCGCUCCAGAAAACUUUCAAGAACCUAGGUGACGUGGCCGAGUUCAUCGUUGCUGGGAACUAAGACUCCCGAGGGCGAAGCAGCGGUGCCACGUGAAGGCAGGAGGAGGAGAGCGGGUAUUGUGUGCGUGUGAGGAGAGAUGCACGCCGCCGAUGCCUAUCGUUAAUCAUGCAGCAGGGGAUUUGCCUCGUUGUUGUUGUUCCGAGGGAGGAAUUGCUUUGUUUGUGCGGGUCGGUGCUCUUCCUGCUACUCCUUCCUGCCCGAGCUAGUCUUUAACUCGGUCUCCCCCUCCCCUCCCCUCCCCCUCCGGCGGUGACGCCCCCUCGUCAUAGGAUCUCGUCGCUCCCUCUUCCCGCGCGUUGAUUUUCUGAUGCCAAGAUGCUCGCGCAAGAGCUGCGUAUUCACAUAUGCAUUUGAGCGGCUUUGCCGCCCCCUUUUCAGGUGUGCCUUGUUCAUGCACGCUGCCGUUGCUCUUGGUGUGGGCGGCUCGGCGUCUGCGCGUGCUGGUGGCUCCUCCCGCCCCCUCCAGUUUCACUCGUUUCUUUGGCGCCCUCUGAAGCUUUCCUCACGAGGCCCCCCAUCCGUUCCUAAUCCCCCUGGGUCGCCGUCGUUGCAUUCCCACCCGCCGUCUGUUUCCCCGUGCUGGCUUAGUCACCGAACUGCACUGUAAAUGCGGACUUGGGCUCUCUCGGUGUGCACGUGUCUGUGCGCUCGCUCGUUUCUUUCUCUCAGUCUGUUGCUCAACCGUUUCGCACUGUUGUUGUGGUGAUCGCGGGCAACCUCGGCGGUGCGUGAGCGUGGUGCAUGCGGUAAGGCACUCGCAUGAAGGAGCACGCAAUGAAGUGCGAGGAGAGCGAAAGAGGCUCAUUGAUUCGCAAGCGACGCGGUCGCACUAGCCGCUCCCUCUGCUCGAGCUCCUCGACACAGGGAGGGAGCAUGAUGUGCAGAGGGCAGAGACAAGUUUGUGUUUUAGCCCGAGCAGUGCAGAUAUAGCAUAAAGAGCGAUAGAGGCGGAAGAGGGCUCGGUGGCAGAGAGAGGCCAAUGCUGCCGUUAGACGUGGAACAGCGCCUGGCCUCUCGUCCUUGCGGUUGCACGUGUGAUAGUACGCAAACCCAUACGUAGGCGCACACAUGGUAAGACACUCUGGCAGAAGCACAUGUGCACACUUGUGGCAGAUAUGCAGUGACACCUGUAAACGAGGUGGUUGGGGUGGGGGGUGGGGGGGGGAGGGGUGCUUCUUCACCUCCUAGCCUUUCGGCCCUCCUCGGCGGUGGCGGUUUGCCACGCCAGAUUGGCUCUCUACAUUGCUCUCUC
Molecule: unclassified non-coding RNA, 2570 nt
Filed under: Leishmania donovani
Lineage: Eukaryota; Euglenozoa; Kinetoplastea; Trypanosomatida; Trypanosomatidae
Description: gene:LdHU3.07.1480(CDS-product:delta-5_fatty_acid _desaturase)
Source: RNAcentral